AUUGAACGCUGGUGGCAUGCUUAACACAUGCAAGUUGCACGGCAGCAUGAUCUUGCUUGCAAGAUUGAUGGCGAGUAGCGGACGGGUGAGUAAAGCAUAGGGAUCUACCCUAAAGUGGGGGACAACGGAGGGAAACUUUCGCUAAUACCGCAUAAUACCUGUGGGUUAAAGUCUGCUUAGGCAGGCGCUUUAGGAUGAACCUAUGUCAGAUUAGCUAGAUGGUGGGGUAAAGGCCUACCAUGGCGACGAUCUGUAGCUGUUCUGAGAGGAAGAUCAGCCACACUGGGAACUGAGAUACGGUCCAGACUUCUACGGAAGGCAGCAGUGAGGAAUAUUGGACAAUGGGCGAAAGCCUGAUCCAGCAAUACCGCGUGAGUGAUGAAGGCUUUAGGGUUGUAAAACUCUUUCAGUAGGGAUGAUAAUGACGGUACCUACAGAAGAAGCACCGGCUAACUCCGUGCCAGCCGCCGCGGU
Molecule: ribosomal RNA, 474 nt
Filed under: uncultured bacterium
Lineage: Bacteria
Description: bacterial SSU rRNA
Rfam family: Bacterial small subunit ribosomal RNA
Source: RNAcentral